ACGGAGGAUGCGAGCGUUGUUCGGAAUCACUGGGCUUAAAGGGCGUGUAGGCGGAGUGUCAGGUGCUUUGUGAAAUCCCGCGGCUUAACCGCGGAAUUGCUUGGCAAACCGGCAUUCUUGAGGCAGGUAGGGGCGACUGGAACCUUUGGUGGAGAGGUGAAAUUCGUAGAUAUCAAAGGGAACGCCGAUGGCGAAAGCGAGUCGCUGGGCCUGUCCUGACGCUGAGGCGCGAAAGCGUAGGGAGCGAACGG
RNAcentral lists this ribosomal RNA (251 nucleotides) under uncultured prokaryote. RNAcentral's name for it is "partial 16S rRNA". It matches the Rfam family "Bacterial small subunit ribosomal RNA", at positions 525 to 775 of the family's 1533-position model. The record is from RNAcentral.